GGGGAAUAUUGCACAAUGGAGGAAACUCUGAUGCAGCGACGCCGCGUGGAGGAAGAAGGUCUUCGGAUUGUAAACUCCUGUUGUCGGGGACGAUAAUGACGGUACCCGACAAGGAAGUGACGGCUAACUACGUGCCAGCAGCCGCGGUAAAACGUAGGUCACAAGCGUUGUCCGGAAUUACUGGGUGUAAAGGGAGCGCAGGCGGGGAGACAAGUUGGGAGUGAAAUCUAUGGGCUCAACCCAUAAAUUGCUUUCAAAACUGUUUUUCUUGAGUAGUGCAGAGGUAGGCGGAAUUCCCGGUGUAGCGGUGGAAUGCGUAGAUAUCGGGAGGAACACCAGUGGCGAAGGCGGCCUACUGGGCACCAACUGACGCUGAGGCUCGAAAGUAUGGGUAGCAAAC
This 400-nucleotide ribosomal RNA is filed under the name uncultured bacterium. RNAcentral describes it as "bacterial SSU rRNA". It matches the Rfam family "Bacterial small subunit ribosomal RNA", at positions 356 to 773 of the family's 1533-position model. The record is from RNAcentral.